GUGCAGCAGGCGAGAAUCCUCCUCAAUGCACUCACGUGCGAAGGGGUUACCUCGAGUGCCGCCUGAAGAAGGCGGCUUUUCCAUGGUCUAAAAAGCCUAGGGAAUAAGAGGGGGCAAGACUGGUGUCAGCCGCCGCGGUAACACCAGCCCCUCGAGUGGUGGGGAUGAUUAUUUGGCCUAAAGCGUCCGUAGCCGGCCGGGUAAGUCUCCCGUUAAAUCCAGCGUCUCAAGCGUUGGACUGCGGGAGAUACUGUCUGGCUAGAGAGUGGGAGAGGUGUACGGUAUUCUGGGGGUAGGGGCGAAAUCCUUUGAUCCCCGGAGGACCACCAGUGGCGAAGGCUGUACACUAGAACACGUCUGACGGUCAGGGACGAAAGCUGGGGUAGCGAACCGGAUUAGAUACCCGCGUAGU
Molecule: ribosomal RNA, 412 nt
Filed under: uncultured microorganism
Description: bacterial SSU rRNA
Rfam family: Archaeal small subunit ribosomal RNA
Source: RNAcentral